CCGAGGAUAUUUUGCUUUCGUUUGUCGUUUCGCUGGUCACUGGCAGCGAGCUAUAUGUGUGGUACCAAUGGAAUGUACUAGGUGGACUUGCUCUAAAAGUGGUACUGAUGAAGAUCUGCUUGCAAACGUUCAGUUAUUACAGAAUCAGCUGAGGAGAACUGAAAAAAACCUUCAAACAGUAGAGAAAGAGCUUUCCAGUACAAAUGAACAUUACGGCCACUGCUUUGCUGAGGCGACAGACUUCGCUCUGGAGGAUUUUGUACAACCUAAUUAUAACAGUCAAGGCUUUUCCAACCCCAAGAAGAAUUGUGGUAAAACAUCUGACCAAGAUUUUCAAAGAAAACCCAAAUCUUACUCAGUAUCCACAACUUCAGAUAAAACUGUGGAAGAAAAUGAACGUCUUCAAGAGCAAAAUGCAUCUUUGACUUCUCAGAACCACUACCUAAAGAACAGAGUGGAAACAAUGAACUUUGAAUUGAUGCAGUCAAAAACAAAAAUUUCGUAUCUUGAAUCCACUUUAGGUACGCAUUUAUUCAGCGUUCCGAAGUUGAAAGAACAGAUUUUAAACUUGGAAGCAGAAGUUUCAACUCAAAAUAAAAUUCUGAAAGAUGCAGAAGAUAGGCUAGAUCAAAACCGGAAAACAGCACUGGAAAGAGAAAACAUGUUGCAAAGAUAUCAAAAGGGCUAUAAAAAUCUGAAAAUGGAGUUAAUUGAACGGAGCAAGCAAGGAAAGAGAGCAGAACAGCAAAGAAAUGAAGCUUUGUUGAAUGUGAAGGAGCUGACAAGAGCUUUCAAAAAGUAUAAAGCAGAAAUAACUGAAAAAUUAGAAAAGGUUAAAGCUGAAGAAUUAGUCUUGGGAAAACGUUUAAUUAAUUGUGAAAAAGAAAAAGAGAAGUUGAAUGAAAAAUGUAUCAGCUACAGAAAGGAUCUAAACAUCCUAGAAGAGCAACUAAGGCAAUUAAAGGAAGAGAAUAGUAGCACAAAAGAAGAAAUUAAGACUCUAGAGGCAAAGAACGCUGAAAUUACAUCAAUGCUGAGUCGGUCUGAUCAGAAGAUCAUCAAGCUUGAGAGUGAACUUUCUGAAAAAGAAAAUGUGCUUAAAGAGCAAAAUGCUCUAAUAAGUGAAAAUGCAGAGCUGAGAGCACUUACUGCACAGCAACAUAACCACUUGAAAUUAUGUCAUCAAGAAAUUGAGAAUUCAAGGGAAGAGCUCAACAUACUAGAAACCAUUAUUUCUCAGUUGUCUUCAAGUACAUCUGAAGAGUUUAAAUGGCACCAUUUCAAACACCAGCUUUUGAGUUCCUCAACAAAAGAAGUUAUUUCAGAGUCUUGUGGUGAAUCAAGUAAACCUUUGAUUGCAGACCUAAGCAUUAAACUGUCAAUGAAAGAAGCUGAAAUGCAAAAGCCUCGUGCAAACUUAACUAUCUGUACUGGAGCUGAGCAUCUGUCUAAUGAUAAUGAAGGACAAGAAAAUAGCAGGUCAUGUGGCCUGGAAACAGAGCCUGUCAAAUUGAUCAGAAGUCAAGGAGAGAGGAGAAAAUGCCAACAGUUGGAACUUAUAAGCAAGCAAUUUGAAAAGAUGAGGCGAAGAUUCCAGAAAGAGAUAGAAGAGUUACGCACUAAACUGACAAAAGCAGAUGAUGAAAAUUCUUCUUUGAAGAGCAGCAUGGCUCAAAGGACCAGCCAGUUUCAAAUCAUACAGGAAGACCUACUGAAGAAGGCUUCAAAAACUAGUAGCUUAGAGAAAGAAAUGAGAAAGAAAUCUUCUCAACUUUCUGAACUUGAAGAACAGUUGGAAGAAAAGACUAUUGCUUAUUCCACUGCUGCAGCAAGAAAUGCUGAGUUGGAACAGGAACUCAUGGAAAAAAGCAGACGCAUUCAUGAGUUGGAAGCAACUAUCAGUGAAGAACAUAAGAAAAUAAAUUCUGCUUUUGAAAAUGCAAAGUUGGUACACCUUGAGCAGCACAAAGAGAUGAAGAAACAGAUAGAACUACUUCAGACACAGCUGGAGCAGAAACAUCAACAAUUCAUUGAACAAGAGAAAAUAAUAUCUGUUUUACAACAAGAGGUUAUACAUAAACAGCUUCAUUACAUUGAAUCAUUGGAUGGGCUGCUGAUAGGAAGCAGAGAGCUUCAUUAUUUGCAGAAAGAAAUAAAAAUAAAAGAUCAGAAUAUUCAGGACACGAGUGAACAAACUGUUCUACAAACUUUGCUUCAUCAUCAGCAAAUGUUACAGCAAGAAACUAUUAGAAAUGGGGAGCUGGAAGAUAAUCAGAUUAAACUCGAACAACAGGUAUCCACUUUGGAAAAGGAGCUUCAGAAUCAGAAAGCAUGUGCAGCAGAUGAGUUGAGAAAGGUGGAGGAGAAACUUCGCUUUGCUGCUCAGGAAGCAGAUUUAAACGGACAGAAGGUGGAUGAACUGAAUUGUACAAUCAGGCAGAUUAAAUUGGAGAUGGAUCAGUGCAAGAAUGAACUUAUUGAUAUGGAAAAAGAAGUAGUGCAAUUACAGCAAGAUGGUGAAAACAAAACAGUGCAGAUAAAUCAGUUGGAUAUCACUUUGGAAGAAGCAAGAUCAGAGCUCAAUAAAAAGGCAAAUGAGGUGAAUGAUUUAGAAGAUAAGCUGCUUCAAAGUGAGACUUGCCACAGGGAAGCCUUACAGAAAAUAGCAGAACUAGAAUCUGCAUUACACAAUGCCCGUGGAGAAUUAAAAAUCACUUUAACACAGCUUCAGGAAUUGCAAGAUGCAUUACAGAAUGCACAGUCCUCUCUGGAGGAGAAGCACAUUGCUAUCAUGGAGCUAACAACUGAGCUCAGGUAUUGCAAGGGUGAAGUUGAAGACAAAAAACAAGAACUCCUUGAAAUGGACCAAGCACUGAAAGAAAGGAAUUGGGAACUGAAACAAAGAGCAGCUCAGAUUACACAGCUGGAUAUGACAGUUCGUGCAUAUAGGGAAGAAAUGGAACAACAAAUAAUUCAAUUACAGUGCAAUUUAGAAAAGUCAGAGUUGGAAAUCAAGGAAUGCAAUAAAAAGAUUGAGAGCUUAGAGAAGAAACUUCAGCAUUCUAAAGAUCAGCUUCGUGAAAAAGAGUUUGAAUUGCUCCAGAGAGACCAAGAAAUAAAUCAGCUGAAGAAAAAAAAAAUCAAAGAAAACAACAUAGCCUAGAAGCUCUUGAAAAGCGAGGGUCUUGUAACAAUUCAGCACUCUGCUACCCUUCGAAGUUGGGCAAGAACUGUGAAGAAAUGAAUGUUGCCCAUUGGACAAGCAGCAACCCAGGAAUGCUACUGCUGGCAUCAUUAUUGUGCAUUCCAAGAGGAAAUGUUAAUGUUGUAUUUCUAAAGAAGGAAUGCAGUUAUUUGUACUGAAGCAGAUGAUACCCUUUUUAUUUUUCCAGCUGUUUUUAAGAUUAUUGCCUUGAUUUAAUAACAUAUUAAUUUAUUUUUUCAUACUUUAAAAAAAAUUAUUUCUCUUAAGUUGUAGGAAUUAAUUUCAGCUCUUGUCUUUUUCCAAGGAUUUUGAAUGGUGUACUUGUUUCGUAUCUCACUUCUAAUUAAAAACACAAUGGUAUUAUUAAGAAUUUUUGUUUGGGAAUAUUUUAUCUUCUUUUUUUGUACAUAUGCAGUGUUGCAGACACAACAUCUUAUUAAAAUUGACCUGUUUGCAAGAUGUUUUAGGACACUGAUUUGAUCACAGACACUGGGAAAACCUGCUUGCUUUAUUCCAAGCAGUAUCUUUAAAAUGCAAAGGAACAAGGCCAUAAAGCUUUCUGAGCUUUGAGCUUUUUUUAUUUCUAACAAAAAUCCCUACAAAAAUUAUCAUAGAUUAAAAUGGCAUCAUAAUUAUGCAUUCUAAAACAUAUUUAUUUCCAUUUUUCCAAAAGUACUACACAAUUUAGCUGUACGAAUGCCUGGUGGCUCCACUUUUAUAUUUAUAUGAGCAUCAGAAACUGCAAAUGUGGUUAUGAGGCCUCAAUCUGAGUCUGAAUAAUGCAUACAUGAUUUAUGUGCAUUAAGACGUGAUUCAUACUUCAGAAAAUCAAGUUAAUAAAGUUACUUGACUUGAGGAACAGAAUUGAAUGUGUUGCAAUUUAAAUCCUAGGCCUCAGUUAAGUGUUUUGUACAUUAAAAGUGAAUCUUGGCCAACAAAUAUAUCUAUUGUGUUUCUGCAACUCUGCAAGUGGUCCUGUGCCAAAGUCCUUGGGCAGUCAUAGGCCUUUCAUUGUUUAUGUAAACACGUUCCACAAAUGCCACACUCUAAGUGGUUCUACAAAACCAGCCACACAUUCUGCUACCAUUGACAAGGUCAAGAUACACUUAUCUAAAAUAUUUCUGCAGUUUCAGAUUAUUUAAUCUGCUAUUAUGAAAAUUAUGAUGUAGCGAAAAAUACUGUUCCUUACAGAAAUAUAUUGCGUGUUUUACAUCAAGCUGUACGUUUCUCUACAUAAUAGUAAAGGAAAAACAUUAGAAUUAGGUUGACUGGUGUAACAAUUGCAAAUUAAACUAUUAUUUUUUCCUCUUUAGGCACAUCACUUUGCCUUCAGGCUAGAAUUCUAUGCACCAAAUUUCAGACAGAUUUUUUUUAAAGCAGUGGAACAUAUAAGCCCU
This is an RNA transcript of Manacus vitellinus (golden-collared manakin), 4602 nucleotides long. It is a transcript of the gene named coiled-coil domain containing 18, with no coding region annotated. The transcript is spliced from 24 exons. The record is from RefSeq and is a predicted model, not a curated record. Lineage: Eukaryota; Metazoa; Chordata; Aves; Passeriformes; Pipridae.